AGUGAACGCUGGCGGUAGGCCUAACACAUGCAAGUCGAACGGCAGCACAGUAAGAGCUUGCUCUUACGGGUGGCGAGUGGCGGACGGGUGAGGAAUACAUCGGAAUCUACUUUUUCGUGGGGGAUAACGUAGGGAAACUUACGCUAAUGCCGCAUACGACCUACGGGUGAAAGCAGGGGAUCUUCGGACCUUGCGCGAUUGAAUGAGCCGAUGUCGGAUUAGCUAGUUGGCGGGGUAAAGGCCCACCAAGGCGACGAUCCGUAGCUGGUCUGAGAGGAUGAUCAGCCACACUGGAACUGAGACACGGUCCAGACUCCUACGGGAGGCAGCAGUGGGGAAUAUUGGACAAUGGGCGCAAGCCUGAUCCAGCCAUACCGCGUGGGUGAAGAAGGCCUUCGGGUUAUAAAGCCCUUUUGUUGGGAAAGAAAAGCAGCAGGUUAAUACCCCGCUGUUCUGACGGUACCCAAAGAAUAAGCACCGGCUAACUUCGUG
Molecule: ribosomal RNA, 492 nt
Filed under: uncultured bacterium
Lineage: Bacteria
Description: partial 16S ribosomal RNA
Rfam family: Bacterial small subunit ribosomal RNA
Source: RNAcentral